GACGAACGCUGGGGCGUGCCUAAUACAUGCAAGUAGAACGCUGAAGGAGGAGCUUGCUUCUCUGGAUGAGUUGCGACGGGUGAGUAACGCGUAGGUAACCUGCCUGGUAGCGGGGGAUAACUAUUGGAAACGAUAGCUAAUACCGCAUAAUAGUAGAUGUUGCAUGACAUUUACUUAAAAGGUGCAAUUGCAUCACUACCAGAUGGACCUGCGUUGUAUUAGCUAGUUGGUGGGGUAACGGCUCACCAAGGCGACGAUACAUAGCCGACCUGAGAGGGUGAUCGGCCACACUGGGACUGAGACACGGCCCAGACUCCUACGGGAGGCAGCAGUAGGGAAUCUUCGGCAAUGGACGGAAGUCUGACCGAGCAACGCCGCGUGAGUGAAGAAGGUUUUCGGAUCGUAAAGCUCUGUUGUAAGAGAAGAACGAGUGUGAGAGUGGAAAGUUCACACUGUGACGGUAACUUACCAGAAAGGGACGGCUAACUACGUGCCAGCAGCCGCGGUAAUACGUAGGUCCCGAGCGUUAUCCGGAUUUAUUGGGGCGUAAAGCGAGCGCAGGCGGUUAGAUAAGUCUGAAGUUAAAGGCUGUGGCUUAACCAUAGUACGCUUUGGAAACUGUUUAACUUGAGUGCAGAAGGGGAGAGUGGAAUUCCAUGUGUAGCGGUGAAAUGCGUAGAUAUAUGGAGGAACACCGGUGGCGAAAGCGGCUCUCUGGUCUGUAACUGACGCUGAGGCUCGAAAGCGUGGGGAGCAAACAGG
RNAcentral lists this ribosomal RNA (762 nucleotides) under uncultured Streptococcus sp. Its description in RNAcentral is "bacterial SSU rRNA". It matches the Rfam family "Bacterial small subunit ribosomal RNA", at positions 28 to 776 of the family's 1533-position model. Lineage: Bacteria; Bacillati; Bacillota; Bacilli; Lactobacillales; Streptococcaceae. The record is from RNAcentral.